Molecule: ribosomal RNA, 433 nt
Filed under: uncultured bacterium
Lineage: Bacteria
Description: partial 16S ribosomal RNA
Rfam family: Bacterial small subunit ribosomal RNA
Source: RNAcentral
AACGAACGCUGGCGGCAUGCCUAACACAUGCAAGUCGAACGAUCCCUUCGGGGAUAGUGGCGCACGGGUGCGUAACGCGUGGGAACCUGCCCUUAGGUUCGGAAUAACUCAGAGAAAUUUGAGCUAAUACCGGAUAAUGUCUUCGGACCAAAGAUUUAUCGCCUUUGGAUGGGCCCGCGUUGGAUUAGCUAGUUGGUGGGGUAAAGGCCUACCAAGGCGACGAUCCAUAGCUGGCCUGAGAGGAUGAUCAGCCACACUGGGACUGAGACACGGCCCAGACUCCUACGGGAGGCAGCAGUGGGGAAUAUUGGACAAUGGGCGAAAGCCUGAUCCAGCAAUGCCGCGUGAGUGAUGAAGGCCUUAGGGUUGUAAAGCUCUUUUACCCGGGAUGAUAAUGACAGUACCGGGAGAAUAAGCCCCGGCUAACUCCGUG